Molecule: transfer RNA, 77 nt
Filed under: candidate division WS5 bacterium
Lineage: Bacteria
Description: tRNA-Val
Rfam family: tRNA
About the family: Transfer RNA (tRNA) molecules are approximately 80 nucleotides in length. Their secondary structure includes four short double-helical elements and three loops (D, anti-codon, and T loops).
Source: RNAcentral
GGGCGCUUAGCUCAGUUGGCUAGAGCAUCUCGUUUACACCGAGAGGGUCGAGGGUUCGAGUCCCCCAGCGCCCACCA